RNAcentral lists this ribosomal RNA (498 nucleotides) under uncultured bacterium. Its description in RNAcentral is "partial 16S ribosomal RNA". It matches the Rfam family "Bacterial small subunit ribosomal RNA", at positions 30 to 523 of the family's 1533-position model. The record is from RNAcentral.
AUUGAACGCUGGCGGCAUGCCUUACACAUGCAAGUCGAACGGUAACAGGUCUUCGGAUGCUGACGAGUGGCGAACGGGUGAGUAAUACAUCGGAACGUGCCCGAUCGUGGGGGAUAACGAAGCGAAAGCUUUGCUAAUACCGCAUAAGAUCUACGGAUGAAAGCAGGGGACCGCAAGGCCUUGCGCGAACGGAGCGGCCGAUGGCAGAUUAGGUAGUUGGUGGGAUAAAAGCUUACCAAGCCGACGAUCUGUAGCUGGUCUGAGAGGACGACCAGCCACACUGGGACUGAGACACGGCCCAGACUCCUACGGGAGGCAGCAGUGGGGAAUUUUGGACAAUGAGCGAAAGCCUGAUCCAGCCAUGCCGCGUGCAGGAUGAAGGCCUUCGGGUUGUAAACUGCUUUUGUACGGAACGAAAAGACUCUUUCUAAUAAAGAGGGUCCAUGACGGUACCGUAAGAAUAAGCACCGGCUAACUACGUGCCAGCCGCCGCAGUAA